RNAcentral lists this ribosomal RNA (908 nucleotides) under Paraphaeosphaeria neglecta. RNAcentral's name for it is "eukaryotic LSU rRNA". It matches the Rfam family "Eukaryotic large subunit ribosomal RNA", at positions 38 to 963 of the family's 3401-position model. Lineage: Eukaryota; Fungi; Ascomycota; Dothideomycetes; Pleosporales; Didymosphaeriaceae. The record is from RNAcentral.
GCAUAUCAAUAAGCGGAGGAAAAGAAACCAACAGGGAUUGCCCUAGUAACGGCGAGUGAAGCGGCAACAGCUCAAAUUUGAAAUCUGGCUCUCUUUGGGAGUCCGAGUUGUAAUUUGCAGAGGAUGCUUUGGCAUUGGCGGCGGUCUAAGUUCCUUGGAACAGGACAUCACAGAGGGUGAGAAUCCCGUACGUGGUCGCCUGCCCUUGCCGUGUAAAGCUCCUUCGACGAGUCGAGUUGUUUGGGAAUGCAGCUCUAAAUGGGAGGUAAAUUUCUUCUAAAGCUAAAUACUGGCCAGAGACCGAUAGCGCACAAGUAGAGUGAUCGAAAGAUGAAAAGUACUUUGGAAAGAGAGUCAAAAAGCACGUGAAAUUGUUGAAAGGGAAGCGCUUGCAGCCAGACUUGCCCGCAGUUGCUCACCUAGGCUUUCGCCUGGGGCACUCUUCUGCGGGCAGGCCAGCAUCAGUUUGGGCGGUUGGAUAAAGGCCUCUGUCACGUAUCUCCCUUCGGGGUGACCUUAUAGGGGAGGCGCAAUGCAACCAGCCCGGACUGAGGUCCGCGCAUCUGCUAGGAUGCUGGCGUAAUGGCUGUAAGCGGCCCGUCUUGAAACACGGACCAAGGAGUCUAACAUCUAUGCGAGUGUUUGGGUGUCAAGCCCGAGCGCGCAAUGAAAGUGAACGGAGGUGGGAACCCUUUGGGUGCACCAUCGACCGAUCCUGAUGUCUUCGGAUGGAUUUGAGUAAGAGCAUAGCUGUUGGGACCCGAAAGAUGGUGAACUAUGCUUGAAUAGGGUGAAGCCAGAGGAAACUCUGGUGGAGGCUCGCAGCGGUUCUGACGUGCAAAUCGAUCGUCAAAUUUGGGCAUAGGGGCGAAAGACUAAUCGAACCAUCUAGUAGCUGGUUCCUGCCG